GGAAGUAAACGCAUCUCCAUACAGACUAUUGUGAGCACUCCCUAUCAAAUGCAGGGAUUCGCCACGAGAGCAGAGUUGGGGAUUGUGCCGCCCAUGCUUUGUGUGGCCCUCAAAUUGAGGUCACAGUGGCUUGAUUUUUCCCCUGCCAUAGAACAAAGCCCUCUAAUAAAUUUAUUAAGUCUAAGUUAUUUGCAAUUCAUGUGCUCUUUGCAGAUCAAGACUGGGUUAUGGACGAUGCCUUCUUUACACAAAAGAAUUGAAGCAUGAGGAGGAAUCUAGGCAGCAAGUGAGGACAGGAAGCCCUUCUAAAUCAUCUUAGGAGCACUUCAGGAUUUAUACACUUGUAGAAUAUGACCACUGAAGGCGAGUGAAGAGAUGAUCUCCAAUCCCACCCUUUUUCAGAUAAGGAAACUCAUACAGAGAGGUUGCAGCAACAGUCCCAAAACACAGGGUUAUGGCAGAAGGUGGUUCAUGCUUCCUGCAGGUGUUAAAUGACCAAAGAAUCAUGGACAUGGAAGCUGAGAGUCUGCCUAAUGAACUUAAGGCUGCAGAAUGAUGUCUUCUCUCUCUUUGAAUAAGAGCAAAGAAAAUACCUUCCAAGUAAGGACUCCUAGAUUUUGGAGUUUGCAUCCAUCCUGCAUUCAUCACAUUUAUUUUACAUCUGACCCCAACUGUUUGCCUAAAUUAGAUUGAAAAUUAAGGAGCAAAGGAUGCCCGCAGCAAAGGAAUUGCACAUUUUUGGAAGUUUGAGCAAAACAGCAGAUGAAACAUCAGCUGGGCAUCGUGAGCUCGGACUCAUUAAAGCAGGCUGGGAGUCACUAAGAGAAAUAGGCCUAACCUGUGCAACAACAGUGAGGACUUAAUUUGUGAGGUAGGUACAACGUAAAAGUAAGGUGUUUUAUAUUUCAUUUCAUCUCACUACUACUAGGAAUUAGCCACUCAGCGUUUGGUAUUUUUAUGCCACUUGAGUCUAAUCUUCCUGUAUUCUUUUCUUUGUUCCCUUCUUUGAAAAGUCAGUGAACAAACAACAACCAUGACCACAAAAUGUUAGAUCAUUUGGUGUAUGAUGUCCUGGGCUCUGGCAUUUUUAAAACUUAGAUGUGUAUUGUAUUUUUAUUUUAAG
Molecule: long non-coding RNA, 1123 nt
Organism: Canis lupus familiaris (dog)
Lineage: Eukaryota; Metazoa; Chordata; Mammalia; Carnivora; Canidae
Exons: 3
Source: RefSeq, a predicted model, not a curated record